GGAUGGGUACCCAAGAGGCCAAAGGGGGCAGACUGUAAAUCUGUUAGCUAAGCUUUCGAAGGUUCGAAUCCUUCCCCAUCCA
Transfer RNA from Herbinix sp., 82 nucleotides. It matches the Rfam family "tRNA". Rfam says of the family: Transfer RNA (tRNA) molecules are approximately 80 nucleotides in length. Their secondary structure includes four short double-helical elements and three loops (D, anti-codon, and T loops). Further hydrogen bonds mediate the characteristic L-shaped molecular structure. tRNAs have two regions of fundamental functional importance: the anti-codon, which is responsible for specific mRNA codon recognition, and the 3' end, to which the tRNAs corresponding amino acid is attached (by aminoacyl-tRNA synthetases). tRNAs cope with the degeneracy of the genetic code in two manners: having more than one tRNA (with a specific anti-codon) for a particular amino acid; and 'wobble' base-pairing, i.e. permitting non-standard base-pairing at the 3rd anti-codon position. Lineage: Bacteria; Bacillati; Bacillota; Clostridia; Lachnospirales; Lachnospiraceae. The record is from Rfam.